GGAAGGAUCCAUGAUGAAAUCGAGUGCACGCACACGCCAGUGUGUGUUGCACAAUACUCUGUUGAAAUGAGAUCGGAGUGCGUGAGUGGGAGACAACUCUUGCUCGCACACCCCUUCACUUAUACAUCAUAGACAAGCAUAAGAGAAACACAACAGAUAAAAAAUCUUUUUUUUACCACUUUUAACAAUGGAUCUCUUGGCUCUUGCAACGAUGAAGAACGCAGCCAAAUGCGAAAAGUAUUGUGACAUGCAUUCUUUGUGAAUCAACGAAUUUUUGAACGCACCUUGCACCUCGUGGCACUGUCAAGAGGUAUACUUGUUUGAGCAUUGCAAAACGAGAUUACGCUGUAGCAGUAGUGAACAGUGUAGUGAUCUGAGCCUCUGAGUGUGCACGUCAGUGCACGCCUAGUUGUUUGAAAUGCACACUCGCGUGUCCGGUUGUGGACGACAGUCUCAUGGGAUAAUAUCCAAUCAUGAGACAACGUUCACACACGGUGUACAGCGAGUCCCGUCUGCAAUCAUUCUUAUUGUGGACACUGCGUGUCGUGUCGUGUAGUGCAAGCAAGCAUCACACAACACACACCCUUUAUCUUUACCAAUCUCAAAUCAAGUAGGAAGACCCGCUGAACUUAAGCAUAUCAGUAAGCGGAGGAAAAGAAACUAACAAGGAUUCCCAUAGUAACGGCGAGUGAAGUGGGAAGAGCUCAAAUUUAAAAUCGCGUACAAGUCAUUGUGCUCGAGUUGUAUUUUCAAGGCGCCUCUUUUGCACAGAACGUGCUGCGUAAGUCCUUUGGAAAAAGGCAUCAUAGAGGGUGACAAUCCCGUUACGCAGCACAUCAGUGCAGACAAAGAGACGCCUUUGAGUCGGGUUGUUUGGGAAUGCAGCCCCAAAUGGGUGGUACAUUUCAUCUAAGGCUAAAUAACGGCAAGAGACCGAUAGCGAACAAGUACCGUGAGGGAAAGAUGAAAAGAACUUUGAAAAGAGAGUGAAACAGUGCGUGAAAUUGUUAAAAGGGAAACGAUCGGGGUGAGAGAUGGAAGGGCGGUGUAGUGAACAGAAAGAUCUUAGGGUCUUCUGUCUGCUAUAGAACGCUCUUUCUAGUCAACAUGCUUUUUUCGAUCUGGACAAGACAAGAGAAAAUGUGUUCGCACAGAGUCCCUUGGCAUACAGAUAGGGAAAAGUAAAGGCACUCUAGGGCUUCCCUAGUUUUCUGUUGACAAAAUGACCUUGAACGACCCGUCUUGAAACACGGACCAAGGAGUCCAACAAUGAUGCAAGUAUUCGAGUGACAAACUCGAGUGCGCAAAGAAAUUGAAGCGUGGGAAUGCACACCCCCUCACGGGAGGUGUACGUGCACCACGGGCCGGUUCUUGUCAUGGACUUGGAUCGAGCUAGAGCAUCCAUGUUGGGACCCGAAAGAUGGUGAACUAUGCCUGAAUAGGGUAAAGCCAGAGGAAACUCUGGUGGAGGCUCGUAGCGAUUCUGACGUGCAAAUCGAUCGUCGAAUUUGGGUAUAGGGGCGAAAGACUAAUCGAACCAUCUAGUAGCUGGUUCCCUC
RNAcentral lists this unclassified non-coding RNA (1559 nucleotides) under uncultured fungus. RNAcentral describes it as "sequence contains 18S rRNA gene, ITS1, 5.8S rRNA gene, ITS2, 28S rRNA gene". The stretch from base 597 to 1559 matches the Rfam family "Eukaryotic large subunit ribosomal RNA", at positions 1 to 961 of the family's 3401-position model. The record is from RNAcentral. Lineage: Eukaryota; Fungi.